GUGCUUGCUUUGGCAGCACAUAUACUAAAAUCAGAACUAUAGAGAAGAAGAGCAUGGCCCCUGUGCAAGGAUGACAUGAAAAUUUGUGGACUAAAAAAAAAAAAA
Molecule: small nuclear RNA, 105 nt
Filed under: Pteropus vampyrus (large flying fox)
Lineage: Eukaryota; Metazoa; Chordata; Mammalia; Chiroptera; Pteropodidae
Source: RNAcentral